Molecule: ribosomal RNA, 523 nt
Filed under: uncultured bacterium
Lineage: Bacteria
Description: partial 16S ribosomal RNA
Rfam family: Bacterial small subunit ribosomal RNA
Source: RNAcentral
UGGGGAAUUUUGGACAAUGGGCGAAAGCCUGAUCCAGCAAUGCCGCGUGUGUGAAGAAGGCCUUCGGGUUGUAAAGCACUUUUGUCCGGAAAGAAAUCCUUGGCUCUAAUACAGUCGGGGGAUGACGGUACCGGAAGAAUAAGCACCGGCUAACUACGUGCCAGCAGCCGCGGUAAUACGUAGGGUGCAAGCGUUAAUCGGAAUUACUGGGCGUAAAGCGUGCGCAGGCGGUUUGCUAAGACCGAUGUGAAAUCCCCGGGGCUCAACCUGGGAACUGCAUUGGUGACUGGCAGGCUAGAGUAUGGCAGAGGGGGGUAGAAUUCCACGUGUAGCAGUGAAAUGCGUAGAGAUGUGGAGGAAUACCGAUGGCGAAGGCAGCCCCCUGGGGCCAAUACUGACGCUCAUGCACGAAAGCGUGGGGAGCAAACAGGAUUAGAUACCCUGGUAGUCCACGCCCUAAACGAUGUCAACUAGUUGUUGGGGGAUUCAUUUCCUUAGUAACGUAGCUAACGCGUGAAGUUGA